UGAGCCGCCAUAAUGGAUUUUGGAGUUGCAUUUGUAAUAGUGCAACGAGCCAAGGUUGAAACAUUUAUAAGUGCUUCUGAAUCACUUGCAUCAUGUCCACCCACAGAAAGUUACAUUUAUGCCAAUGUAUUUUAUUCAUAAGUUAUUAAUGAGGUUUAGGUAUGUUCUGCGCUUGGAUAUCAUGAGGAAAUACAUGAAGCUUACUCGAGCCCUUUGUGCUGUGAAGAUUUAUGCAAAUACUAAAUUGUAAUAACGUGCAGCGUCCGCUGUUUUCAAAGGUUGGUUACGUCACCAAUGCUCCACUAGUGAGGCUUACAGGAACUACUGACUGGACCCCUUCCUACUGCUUGGAGUGAGGUCACAUUUUCUUUUGAUGAUGGUAGGAGGAGGAUUCAAACCCUUGUUUUAUCUUGGCUGGUGGGUUUGAAUGUGUUUAUCCUAAAGAGCUAUUCUUUGUGCCCCUUUUGCUGCAGAGUUUCAGUGGUUUUAACAACUCAUCUCUCCGUCCACACGUCAAAUAAAAGAGAGAGUCUUUCUGUUCAUCACUCUUCUGGGUCCUCCUCGACUUGCCCUUCCAGUCCUCGGUCUCGAUCACAGGGCCGACUCGGUCUUUGAUCAUGGGGUCAUUUGCUUGUUUCGCUAUGCCACCACGGGGUCCCACAGCAAAUAAAGAGGCGGUUUCCUAUUUUAGUUGCUGCUAUGACUGGGGGGGCAGAGUCGAACCCUCAAGCUUCUACUUUGCCUGAGUUGGCCAACCGGUUGAGUUUCCGAGUCUGACUGGCUAGUAAGCCGACCAGACGCAUUUAAUAUUAGCUUAAGGUCUGCAGACCCCUUAAAUAAAUGGCUUGGCCCCCUAUGACGGCUGGAGAGGACGGUGCUCGAAUCCUGCACCUACGCUUUUUAGCGGGCGAACUGAAUCGGCUCGUCUAUCUCAGUGAGCUAAUCCUCCUAAUAUCAUUGACAGAAUGGAGGGCGCUGCAAAUAAAUGGAGAGUUUACAUGUUAUGUGGGGCGAAAUCUAUGGGGUGAAGGCUGGGCUUCAGCUCAGGUUCGGGUCUGCCCCUUUAACCGGAGUGGUCGGUCUGUUUGAACCGCGUAGCCGGUUUGGGUCGCUGUCUUUUCACUGCCGGCCCCUUUAGCGGCGUACACUAUAAACUAUUUUUCUAAAGAGACUAUUUUCUAUAUUAAUACCCCUAUACUCGGGAGAGGAUUCGAACUCGCACAAUUCGUGCACGGGUGGUUUAUAUGAGUGGUCUACCCGGUUAUGCUACCUUAACUGACCCAUCACCCUGGCGGUCUGCCGUGCUUUAUACCAGCGGAGCCCUUAAAUAAACGUGUCCUGUACUACAUGCACCUGUAGCACGUAGGUUGAAUUAGCCCGUUUAUCGGGUGGAGCUAAUUCUCUACUGCGAAGUCUUUUAUAAUUGGAAGUUGGAGUGCACAGCAUGUAAACUGGCAAUUAAGAAAUAAUUUGAAGUAAAUCUUACAUGGUGGGUAUGGGGUCUUGAACCCGGGGCUUCCUUUUCGAACUGAGCGCUUAUCCUCCUGAGCUACUCGCCCACACCCUUUGGUCACCUCAACGUCUCUCAAGUGUGCGACACCGGAAGACUCAAAGGGCGCUCAGCAGGCACCGCGGGGACGAAAUCCGCUCGUUACUAUCUGUUAAUGUAAACCGAAUAACAACAGCAGACAGAGGUAAACAUUUUUCAAAUCCUAGCGUUUUACUUUUUAAAGGGGUCUGUAAAAGUCGCCCAGGAUAAAGGGAUCAGUCAAAUAAUAAAUAAUAAUACGCCCGUUGGGGUGCUUACAGAAGCUCAGUUUGAUAUUCCAUCCCUGUGGUUGUAUUAGCACUAAUACGGUAGGACCCUCAGUGAGUGAAUUCAACUGCCUGUGCUGCACUUGGAACAAAGUAAAUGUGCCAAUUGUGUCUCGCAUUGUGUGAAGAGUUCAGUAAAUAUUAACAAUUUAGGUUGCCGACUUUAAGGAUGAAGUCAAUAAGAAUGAGCUGAUUGAAGAACAGUAACCUGGCGCUUCUGUUUUUAAUCCAUUGUUCAUCUUUGUGUUUCAUAUAUUUAUGUUUAUUUACUGUUUUAUGUGGAUGUUGUUAUGUAUCCCAUUUUAUAUAUUCCCUGUUGUUUAUUUUGUAAAGCACUCUGAGCAUGGGGACGGCACUAUAUAAAUACAAUGUAUUAUUAUUAUUA
This is a long non-coding RNA of Polypterus senegalus (gray bichir), 2200 nucleotides long. RefSeq lists it as uncharacterized. The record is from RefSeq and is a predicted model, not a curated record. Lineage: Eukaryota; Metazoa; Chordata; Cladistia; Polypteriformes; Polypteridae. The transcript has 3 exons.